ACGACUCUCGGCAACGGAUAUCUCGGCUCACGCAUCGAUGAAGAACGUAGCAAAAUGCGAUACUUGGUGUGAAUUGCAGAAUCCCGUGAACCAUCGAGUUUUUGAACGCAAGUUGCGCCCGAAGCCGUUUGGUUGAGGGCACGUCUGCCUGGGCGUCACGC
RNAcentral lists this ribosomal RNA (161 nucleotides) under Acomis macra. RNAcentral describes it as "5.8S ribosomal RNA". It matches the Rfam family "5.8S ribosomal RNA". From Rfam's summary of the family: 5.8S ribosomal RNA (5.8S rRNA) is a component of the large subunit of the eukaryotic ribosome. It is transcribed by RNA polymerase I as part of the 45S precursor that also contains 18S and 28S rRNA. RNAcentral also lists the same sequence under 3 other names. The record is from RNAcentral. Lineage: Eukaryota; Viridiplantae; Streptophyta; Magnoliopsida; Asterales; Asteraceae.